GUUCCUAAACUUGUGAAAAUCUCCAACCAAGCUACACCUGAAAACUGAUCAGAUCGCAUAAUCUCAAUCUCUAAAGCCAAUAGUUGCAUAAUGAAGUUGUUCGACCAAAACGUGAACAAUUCUAUUUUGAGGAAAGAAAAUUGCAAACAGGAACUAGAAAAUUAAAGGCUGAACGCACUGGUCCACCAAAACGUGCUUCAAAUGCCUCUUUCACAAUGGGUCCAUACUAACCCCUCGAAUCCUCGAUUUCCCCAACCCAUUGGAUUCCCACUCAAACUCACCAAAGACAACUAUUUACUCUGGAAAGAUGUGCUCACCCUAGUUCUACAACACUAUUGACAUGUUCAGCUUUGUUGAUGGCUCAGAGCAAUGUCCAACCCCUCAGCUCAACAACCAAGUCAAUCCAGCUCACUCUCAAUGGCUCAAGAAAGAUAGGGCAUGUCGCAUUUGGCUCAUCAUCGCAUUUCCAAGCUAAUUGCCCGGAUACCGUUCAAUAGCUUGCGGGGGCAUAAUGAAACCAUGAUCAAGCCACAUCAGCAAGACCACAUGACUAGUGAUAAAGAUGCACACAUGGAGAGCAAUCCCAAGCUUACAGCCAAGAAUGGCGUGCAACAAAGGCAGGGCAUGCACUGCACAAGUCUGCACAUCCUUCACAUGCAAAGACUAUCACCAACUCUGUACAUGUAAUAGUACCAUAAUUCAAAAUAUCUCAUAGGUCUGCACCAGUCUAAAAUCCUAUGUAGGCUUGUAUAAAUAUAUGUAUCACUAUUCAAUGUAAAUUAAUCGAGGCGCUUCAUUAUAAUACACAAUUACCUUUCUCCAUC
This is a long non-coding RNA of Rosa chinensis, 824 nucleotides long. RefSeq lists it as uncharacterized. NCBI's taxonomy places the organism in Eukaryota, Viridiplantae, Streptophyta, Magnoliopsida, Rosales, Rosaceae. The transcript is spliced from 2 exons. The record is from RefSeq and is a predicted model, not a curated record.